CCUACGGGAGGCAGCAGUGGGGAAUAUUGCACAAUGGGGGAAACCCUGAUGCAGCGACGCCGCGUGAGUGAAGAAGUAUUUCGGUAUGUAAAGCUCUAUCAGCAGGGAAGAAAUAGCGACCUUUGGGUCGCCAGACGGUACCUGAUUAAGAAGCCCCGGCUAACUACGUGCCAGCAGCCGCGGUAAUACGUAGGGGGCAAGCGUUAUCCGGAUUUACUGGGGGUAAAGGGAGCGUAGACGGCAGAGCAAGUCUGAAGUGAAAGCCCGCGGCCCAACUGCGGGCCUGCUUUGGAAACUGCCCGGCU
This 305-nucleotide ribosomal RNA is filed under the name uncultured bacterium. RNAcentral describes it as "bacterial SSU rRNA". It matches the Rfam family "Bacterial small subunit ribosomal RNA", at positions 338 to 642 of the family's 1533-position model. The record is from RNAcentral.